GUCAGGACACAGCAUGGCCAUGAGGGUCCCCACUCAGCUCCUAGGGCUUCUGCUGCUCUGCCUCCCAGGUUCCAUAUGUGACAUCAUGAUGAUGCAGUCUCCAUCCUCCCCAUCUAAAUCUCAAGGAGAAAUAGUCACCAUCACUUCUAGGGCAAGUCAAGUGUUAAUAAUUGGUUAUUCUGCUAUCAACAGAAGCCAAGAAAUAAUGACUGGAAGUGGUCAAUAUAAGUGCAGUGGAGGAGAAGAUGAGCUGAAUGGCUGGGACCCCAAGUAUGCUGACUCCACAGUCACUCAGCUGCUUCCAGAGAGUGUGGGACAGCAAAGGGCUGUGUGGCCCUUGAACUCCAGGCCUGGUGGCAGAGUCCCGACUCAUGGCUCUCACAUCUCCCUCGAAACUGUGCCCCACCACCUCAUGUAAUCUCAGCCCUGUACAGUAUGAAAAAAACAUGUACAGUUGUCACAAAUAAACAAUCCAGGAAACAA
Long non-coding RNA from Marmota monax (woodchuck), 483 nucleotides. RefSeq lists it as uncharacterized. The transcript has 3 exons. The record is from RefSeq and is a predicted model, not a curated record. Lineage: Eukaryota; Metazoa; Chordata; Mammalia; Rodentia; Sciuridae.